UGGGGAAUAUUGGACAAUGGGCGCAAGCCUGAUCCAGCCAUGCCGCGUGUGUGAAGAAGGCCUUUUGGUUGUAAAGCACUUUAAGCGAGGAGGAGGCUACUUGGAUUAAUACUCUAGGAUAGUGGACGUUACUCGCAGAAUAAGCACCGGCUAACUCUGUGCCAGCAGCCGCGGUAAUACAGAGGGUGCGAGCGUUAAUCGGAUUUACUGGGCGUAAAGCGUGCGUAGGCGGCUUCUUAAGUCGGAUGUGAAAUCCCUGAGCUUAACUUAGGAAUUGCAUUCGAUACUGGGAAGCUAGAGUAUGGGAGAGGAUGGUAGAAUUCCAGGUGUAGCGGUGAAAUGCGUGGAGAUCUGGAGGAAUACCGAUGGCGAAGGCAGCCAUCUGGCCUAAUACUGACGCUGAGGUACGAAAGCAUGGGGAGCAAACAGG
This 430-nucleotide ribosomal RNA is filed under the name bacterium. RNAcentral describes it as "partial 16S ribosomal RNA". It matches the Rfam family "Bacterial small subunit ribosomal RNA", at positions 355 to 776 of the family's 1533-position model. The record is from RNAcentral. RNAcentral also lists the same sequence under 1 other name.